AGUGAACGCUGGCGGCGUGCUUAACACAUGCAAGUCGAACGGGAUCUUCGGAUCUAGUGGCGGACGGGUGAGUAACGCGUGGGAACAUCCCUUUCAGUUCGGAAUAACGUUGGGAAACUAACGCUAAUACCGGAUACGUCCUUCGGGAGAAAGAUUUAUCGCUGAAAGAUUGGCCCGCGUCUGAUUAGCUAGUUGGUGAGGUAAUGGCUCACCAAGGCUACGAUCAGUAGCUGAUCUGAGAGGAUGAUCAGCCACAUUGGGACUGAGACACGGCCCAAACUCCUACGGGAGGCAGCAGUGGGGAAUAUUGGACAAUGGGCGCAAGCCUGAUCCAGCCAUGCCGCGUGAGUGAUGACGGCCUUCGGGUUGUAAAGCUCUUUUGUCCGGGAAGAUAAUGACUGUACCGGAAGAAUAAGCCCCGGCAAACUUCGUGCCAGCAGCCGCGGUAA
RNAcentral lists this ribosomal RNA (449 nucleotides) under uncultured bacterium. RNAcentral describes it as "partial 16S ribosomal RNA". It matches the Rfam family "Bacterial small subunit ribosomal RNA", at positions 29 to 523 of the family's 1533-position model. The record is from RNAcentral.